UGCACGAAUUACUAAUAGUAAAUGUGUCAGGAAUCAGCAUUUGGAGUCGAGCCCAUCCGGAAUUUUCAUGUAGGGUUGUCGAAGUUGAGCCGAGGGGACGCUACCCGGACCCUCGUUCCUCCUUUGGGAGCCACCACAGGCCUUGGCCACAAUUCCGGCAGCCGAUUUUGCAAUUGACUUCAAAAUCUUCAAUAUAAUCCGCCCUCUUCUGGGUGGAACUGGAAGAGCAUGAUUUGAUUCAUUUGCGCUUUUCUGGGGUGCCAUUUGUUGAAGCUUUAAUUUGGGUGCGAUCAAAUUUCAAGAAAUGGAGGGUCUUUUGCUAGUGAGCAAAGGAAAACAGAGAGCUUAUGCAGCAGAGCUGAGCAGGAAUGGCAGAGUAGUGACAGAUAUCAGUAAUGAUUAUGGGAAUUUGUAGCACUCCAAUUCUUGAGUCCCAAGUUUGCGUGUGAACAUUCUAUCAAAAAAAAAAAAGAAAAAAGAUUUGAGUGUGAACAUUUUUAUUACUCAGUAGUAGUAUUGUAGUAGUGGUGGAUUCCCAAGCCUCAAAAGCGAGUACUUACUAUUUGGAAAUGGUCCAUGAAAGCUAGACGUUCAAAUUAAUGGCCAGUGGAGU
RNAcentral lists this long non-coding RNA (613 nucleotides) under Coffea arabica (coffee). Its description in RNAcentral is "long non-coding RNA (CARA_LNC000751)". Lineage: Eukaryota; Viridiplantae; Streptophyta; Magnoliopsida; Gentianales; Rubiaceae. The record is from RNAcentral.